RNAcentral lists this ribosomal RNA (359 nucleotides) under uncultured soil bacterium. RNAcentral's name for it is "bacterial SSU rRNA". It matches the Rfam family "Bacterial small subunit ribosomal RNA", at positions 26 to 376 of the family's 1533-position model. The record is from RNAcentral.
AGGAUGAACGCUAGCGGCAGGCCUAACACAUGCAAGUCGAGGGGCAGCACGUCUUCGGAUGGUGGCGACCGGCGCACGGGUGCGUAACGCGUAUGCAACCUACCUCUUACAGUGGGAUAGCCAAGAGAAAUUUGGAUUAAUACCGCAUAGUAUAAAGGGCCAGCAUUGGUUUUUUAUUAAACAUUCAUGGGUAAGAGAUGGGCAUUGCGUUCUAUUAGCUAGAUGGAGUGGUAACGGCACCCCAUGGCUACGAUAGAGUAGGGGCCCUGGAGAGGGGGACUCCCCCACACCUGGUACCUGAGACCACGGGACCAGACUCCGUACGGGAGGCAGCAGUAGAGGAAUAUUGGACAAGUGGG